AAUAGAUACCCGGGUAGUCCACGCCGUAAACGAUGUCGACUUGGAGGUUGUUCCCUUGAGGAGUGGGCUUCCGGAGCUAACGCGUUAAGUCGACCGCCUGGGGAGUACGGCCGCAAGGUUAAAACUCAAAUGAAUUGACGGGGGCCCGCACAAGCGGUGGAGCAUGUGGUUUAAUUCGAUGCAACGCGAAGAACCUUACCUACUCUUGACAUCCAGAGAACUUAGCAGAGAUGCUUUGGUGCCUUCGGGAACUCUGAGACAGGUGCUGCAUGGCUGUCGUCAGCUCGUGUUGUGAAAUGUUGGGUUAAGUCCCGCAACGAGCGCAACCCUUAUCCUUUGUUGCCAGCGGUCCGGCCGGGAACUCAAAGGAGACUGCCAGUGAUAAACUGGAGGAAGGUGGGGAUGACGUCAAGUCAUCAUGGCCCUUACGAGUAGGGCUACACACGUGCUACAAUGGCGCAUACAAAGAGAAGCGACCUCGCGAGAGCAAGCGGACCUCAUAAAGUGCGUCGUAGUCCGGAUUGGAGU
Molecule: ribosomal RNA, 528 nt
Filed under: uncultured bacterium
Lineage: Bacteria
Description: bacterial SSU rRNA
Rfam family: Bacterial small subunit ribosomal RNA
Source: RNAcentral